This 497-nucleotide ribosomal RNA is filed under the name uncultured bacterium. Its description in RNAcentral is "partial 16S ribosomal RNA". It matches the Rfam family "Bacterial small subunit ribosomal RNA", at positions 28 to 507 of the family's 1533-position model. The record is from RNAcentral.
GAUGAACGCUGGCGGCGUGCCUAAUACAUGCAAGUCGAGCGAACAGAUGAGGAGCUUGCUCCUCUGACGUUAGCGGCGGACGGGUGAGUAACACGUGGAUAACCUACCUAUAAGACUGGGAUAACUUCGGGAAACCGGAGCUAAUACCGGAUAAUAUAUUGAACCGCAUGGUUCAAUAGUGAAAGACGGUUUUGCUGUCACUUAUAGAUGGAUCCGCGCCGCAUUAGCUAGUUGGUAAGGUAACGGCUUACCAAGGCAACGAUGCGUAGCCGACCUGAGAGGGUGAUCGGCCACACUGGAACUGAGACACGGUCCAGACUCCUACGGGAGGCAGCAGUAGCGAAUCUUCCGAAAUGGGCGAAAGCCUAACGGAGCAACGCCGCGUGAGUGAUGAAGGUCUUCGGAUCGUAAAACUCUGUUAUUAGGGAAGAACAAAUGUGUAAGUAACUAUGCACGUCUUGACGGUACCUAAUCAGAAAGCCACGGCUAACUACGUG